Y RNA from Callithrix jacchus (white-tufted-ear marmoset), 113 nucleotides. It matches the Rfam family "Y RNA". From Rfam's summary of the family: Y RNAs are components of the Ro ribonucleoprotein particle (Ro RNP), in association with Ro60 and La proteins. The Y RNAs and Ro60 and La proteins are well conserved, but the function of the Ro RNP is not known. Lineage: Eukaryota; Metazoa; Chordata; Mammalia; Primates; Cebidae. The record is from Ensembl.
GGCUGGUCUGAAGGUAGUGAGUUAUCUCAAUUGAUUGUUCACAGUCAGUUACAGAUCGAACUCCUUGUUCUACUCUUUCCCCCCUUCUCACUACUGCACUUGACUAGUCUUAA